CCGCGGUAAUACGUAGGUGGCGAGCGUUAUCCGGAAUUACUGGGUGUAAAGGGUGCGCAGGCGGAAGAUUAAGUCGGCGGUGAAAUUUUGCAGCUCAACUGUAAAAGUGCCAUCGAUACUGGUUUUCUUGAGUGUGGAUGAAGUAGGCGGAAUUUGUGGUGUAGCGGUGAAAUGCAUAGAUAUCACGAGGAACUCCGAUUGCGCAGGCAGCUUACUAGGCCAUAACUGACGCUCAGGCACGAAGGCGUGGGGAUCAAACAGG
RNAcentral lists this ribosomal RNA (262 nucleotides) under uncultured bacterium. Its description in RNAcentral is "partial 16S ribosomal RNA". It matches the Rfam family "Bacterial small subunit ribosomal RNA", at positions 515 to 776 of the family's 1533-position model. The record is from RNAcentral.